GUAGGGUGCAAGCGUUAUCCGGAAUCAUUGGGCGUAAAGAGCUCGUAGGCGGUUCAGCAAGUCGGCUGUGAAAUCCCGAGGGCUUAACCUCGGAACUGCAGUCGAUACUGCUGUGACUAGAGUCCGGUAGAGGAGAAUGGAAUUCCCGGUGUAGCGGUGAAAUGCGCAGAUAUCGGGAGGAACACCAGUAGCGAAGGCGGUUCUCUGGGCCGGUACUGACGCUGAGGAGCGAAAGCGUGGGUAGCAAACAGGAUUAGAUACCCUGGUAGUCCACGCCGUAAACGUUGGACACUAGGUGUGGCGUUCCGACCAACGGGUGCCGUGCCGAAGCUAACGCAUUAAGUGUCCCGCCUGGGGAGUACGGCCGCAAAGGCUAA
RNAcentral lists this ribosomal RNA (377 nucleotides) under uncultured organism. RNAcentral describes it as "partial 16S ribosomal RNA". It matches the Rfam family "Bacterial small subunit ribosomal RNA", at positions 527 to 897 of the family's 1533-position model. The record is from RNAcentral.